UAGACAGCGGAUUUUCGUCGUCAAAGUACUAGGCUUAAAACUGUAAAAAAUGUGGCAGCAUCUUAAAUGACAAAACCGGAGCAGAAUUGACGAUAAAAAUGGUUGCGACUUCAACCUAGACGGUGUGAAUGGGAUUGAGUACGGUUUUACGAAGUUCUUUUUAUCCAGUUUAAGUUGAUAAAACAGGUUUCUUAAAGGACCCAGCAGCAGCGUGACCGCGCCGGACAGAUCGAAAUAUACCAUUUAUUCCUCAAAAAUAUUCUAACGAAAGCCGCCCAAAUAGAGCUUUCGAUCCUCUAGCCAGUUGGCAACGCGAGCAGCUGCGCAAUAAGGCACCGAACUCAAAACGAGCUAAGCUGCGCAAUCCCGAGAAUCUGACAGCCAGGAUGCCUGGUCUCUCUGAUUCUUCUCUUGUUCUUCGCCCGACUUCCUGAAAAACAACACGCCGGAUCGGCGAAAAUAAAGUCAAGGAAAUAAUGCCGAAAUACUCGUGUGAUCAUUGGGUGGCUUAGACGGGGAAGUUGGCAGAGAGUUCUUGGCAGCCACACCUUCAAA
Molecule: non-coding RNA, 555 nt
Organism: Drosophila kikkawai
Lineage: Eukaryota; Metazoa; Arthropoda; Insecta; Diptera; Drosophilidae
Source: RefSeq, a predicted model, not a curated record